Molecule: long non-coding RNA, 1209 nt
Organism: Schistocerca gregaria
Lineage: Eukaryota; Metazoa; Arthropoda; Insecta; Orthoptera; Acrididae
Exons: 3
Source: RefSeq, a predicted model, not a curated record
AGAAUCACCCAAGGUCAUCAGUUCUGCUAGUCACAUGUUAUCAGAAGCAGAAAGAUCUUACUCUGUGUCAGAAACGGAAGUUUAGCUGUAACAUGGGCAUUUGAAAAGUCUGAAUAUUAUUUGUGGGGCAUGAACACUAUAAAGUUUACUGUGACCAUCAGUCACAGUCAUUUCUUUUAAUAUGUAAAUUAUUGCACCGUAGAUUAGCUAGGUGGUGUCUAUAUUUACAAGAAUUAAAUUUUGAGAUCAUUUAUAUUAAAUGAAGUCAGAAUGCUAUUACAGCUGCCUUGUCCAGGUUACCACAAGGUUUGGAUGAAUUUGGUGAAUUAACAGAGCAAGAUAUAGAAUUCAGAAGGUACAUUACAACAGUCUGAUUACCAUAAGUUUCGUAAGCAAAUGAAAGUUAUAAAACAGCAAGAUUGCAGAUGGAGGAAAUUCAUGCAAAACCUUAAGCAGGAUGAAGGUGGAAAUUGAUUACAGAAAUUACACCAUGCCAAGAAAUAAACAAUGCUUAUAAAUCACUAGAAUUUACUCACAUUAAAAAUUUACCUGCUUUUUACAUACAAGAGUAAAAAGGAGAGAGAAAAAAUAUGGAAUGUGUGGAAUGGUCUCAUAGUUCAUCAGUGUGGUAUCUUGACUUGUUGCAAAUCCCUAAGGAUGCUGUUUCCUGAGGGGAAUGUGCCAAAUGUGAUGUAGGAGAAGAAGUGAGGGAGACAGUAAAUUCCUCUGUGGUAGAAUAUAGGAUUGGGGCUGGUGGUGAUACAACAAGAACCAGUUGUAUUAAUUAAAUGAAAAUGACAGUAUCCUGGUCCACUCACGACAUAAAAUAUCUGCUUUACAGCAAUUGCACAGCCAAGUAAAUGGAAUUUAAUGAAGGUCAAAGUCUACUUAACAAUCUCACAACUACAGGAAAGAGAGUUAGUUGUGAAACUCUGAAAAAGAGAAAACAAUGUUCAUGUAACGAAACCCUUAAGAGUACAUCAGGUAACCUGUUGUAUAAUCUUAAUUCUCUCUUUUUGCCUAAAGGUAUUUGGCUACAGUAGACUGUGGUGAUAGAAGACAAUCAUUGUAGUACUCAUUAUAAUGGUAGCAUACUUGUCAUGAUACCAGAAUGUACAAAAAAUUGUAGAACUGAAAAGCUGGUAUCUCAAAAAACACUAUGUGAGUUUACACACUGCCACAUUACACACUACAAUUCAGUGUCCUCUA